This 49-nucleotide non-coding RNA is filed under the name Schistosoma mansoni. Lineage: Eukaryota; Metazoa; Platyhelminthes; Trematoda; Strigeidida; Schistosomatidae. The record is from RNAcentral.
AUUCAGCUGACGAGUCCCAAAUAGGACGAAACGCGUGUCAAAACUGGAU